Long non-coding RNA from Beta vulgaris subsp. vulgaris (sugar beet), 1937 nucleotides. RefSeq lists it as uncharacterized. Lineage: Eukaryota; Viridiplantae; Streptophyta; Magnoliopsida; Caryophyllales; Amaranthaceae. The transcript has 3 exons. The record is from RefSeq and is a predicted model, not a curated record.
UAAAUGCUUAGUGUGCUUUGAGGCGAUUUUCCUGGUGUCAUUGAUUACGUGAUAGUCAUAAAAUACAAAACAUGUGCUAUGAAUGUUUAUGGGUUAAGACUCUACCCAAUGUUGAUGCGACCAUCAAAGUUGAUUGUGAGUGUUAUAAUAACUUCAAGUUGAAGUUCUAGUUGUCGACUUGUGAAUUGGUUUAUGUUUUUUUUUUUUUUUGGGCGAGUACGCCAAACCAUGUAAUGGUGAGUUCAUAUUGUAUGAGUCUUUACUUAUAUUAUUUUUAGAAGAGAAAUAGUACUCUUGAUUUAGAUUAUUUGUUUGCUCGCGAAAGCGUUGAGCAUUGGAUUUGGAAAUGCUUUUACGUAUUGUGAUUGUAACAGGUUUAGAACACUUUUUCUCAUUUCGAGUUGUCCAUUUUACAAAGGAAACUCUGCCGAAUUUUCCAGAAAAUCCUAUGUUAUUAUUUAAAGCACUUGUGAACAAUAGUGUAGUUAUGAAUUGAAUUUCACACUCUACGACAUAGUCCAACGAGUGUGACGGUAGUGGUUCGGUUUAGCUUGACUUAGAUUGUUUCCCGUCGUGUCUAAGUUUAUCAGUCUAUAUGUGAUCCUUGAAAGGAUAGUUGAUUGUGUAUGUAAUAAAUCCAUGUUUCUUAGUUACGACAUCGUAUUAGUAACUCUUCACAAGGUGAUAGUUGGAGUUCUAGUUGAGACUCUAGGCCAAUAGAUCCGUAAGACCCGUAGGGUUGAGAAAUAGAUAGUAAACGUUUUGGUCGCACCACAAUACUAAGGAACUACUCGUAAGACCAAGGAUGUCAUGUGUUUUAUGUGUCCCCGUCUCUUGUUCAUGUUAUUGUUAGUUACGAGGGCGUAACACCCUUUUUAAGGGGGGUAGACUUCAUACUAAUUCUUGCAUGUUAUUAUUGAUGGUUCCUGUAUUAGUAAGUGUUGUUAUUUCCAUUUGAGCUUAUCUAUGAAUAUGUGAAGUGCUAGUUAAGAUUUUAUACAUCAAGUGAUAGUAGUUGACUAAAGUACAAGUCAAGGAGUUGUUUUGCAAAAAGAGAAUAAGUUUGGUUUUUGAGUGUUAUUCUAAGUUUCGGGGCGAAACUUAUUUUAAGGGGGAUAGAUUGUAACACCCCACAAUUUUUGUACCUAUUUAUAUGCUUAUUAUUUGUAUAUUAAAUAUUUUAUGAAAGUAAAUUAAAUUAUUUCUUUUAUGAAAAUAUUAAUUUUUCUCACUUUGCUUUAGUUCAAGAGUGGUCAACUAAGUUUUAUAUUUCUAAAAAGGGUUAUCAUAUAAGUAUACACCUCUAAGUUUAGAUGGUAAAAGGAAAACAAAUAGAAAAGAGAGGGAAAAAAAAGGAAAAAGGAGUUUAAAACCAAAAAAAAAGAAAAAAGAAAAAGAAAAAAAAAAGAACAAAGGCUUUACGGGAUUGUAAUUCCCAGCCAAAACAAACAAACAAAACAAAGGUUUCUUUCUUUUGGUUCACUUCAUCUUCUACCCUAUUCAUUCUUCUCCUAUUUCUUGAUUCAAUACCCUAAAUUCACAAACUUUGUUAAACGUUUAUCACUCUUCCUUCCUCUACCUUCAACAAUACUUGAUUUUGUGGGUAUUUCAAAGAGUGAAAAUUUGGGUUUCAAAUUAGACGUUUUUGGGGGCGAAAAUCGGAUUUAAAAAAAGUGAUUUUCGGGUCUUUUUCUUGAGUAAUUUCAUCUCUCUAUUCAAAUCACGGGUUUGUAGAGGAACCUUUUUGACUCGUAAUUGAGAUUGGUUGAUAGUGGUUUGCUAAUAAGCGCUUGAUAGUGACUAGCUUAUAUUGGGGUGAGAGCGUUGAUUUCACCUAGAUGUAGAUUAAUUAAAGUUAAGACUUCCGCUGCAAUAGUUUAGAAUUAUGGUUUGUUAUAGGAGUGUAUUAAUUAAUUACAUUUCCUUUUAGUUGUAAU